CAGCUAAAAACACUGAAGCUCAGAGGUGAAGAGACAUACCCAAAAUUGCCGUCGGUUUAGACAUCCUCUCCUCCCUGAUUCCUGCUGUUGACAGGUAUGAUGUGAAUCCUCAGAAUCUACACAGUGGGUGAUAGUUCCCUCAUCAGAGCACUCUGGAAGGCAGUGAACAGUUAAGAGAAUAAAUGAAAAUGCCCUCCAUCUCCUCCUCAAAAAUAGUUGACAUGCAUUGAAUGCCUGCUCCGUCAAAGGCACUUUGCCAAAUGCUUUCCAUGGACUAUUUUGUAUCAUCCUUAACAGAGGAGGAUAACCGUGGCCAAAAGAUGUUGACGGUUUGCCUAAGAUUGCAGAACCUGCUAAAAGCAGAAGCAUUUUCAAGCACAGAAACACCCGGGGAAAUGUUCAUUCUUCCUUCAACAACUCUGAAAUCUCCUAAAACAUGCAGCCCACCAGGAGUGGCAAUGGAAAAAAGGCACAGGAAGAAAAUAAACCAAGAAGGAAAAGAUAACACACACAUCUCAUGUGGGCCUUCAGGAAGGAUGGGAGAAGCAGGGCAGGGAGAGGGAGAAGCACCAGCCAGCCUCAGUUCUUCCUUUGCUCAUCCCUCCCCCUUCUUUUCCCUUCCCUCCCCCUUUUCCUGCAUGCAGCAGCAGAUGUAUGAAUGCUUGGAUGGCUUGGCAAAACACUCUCCAAGAUUUAUUUCUGUUGGACAAUCUUGCAUUCUUUUUUUUUCCCCCUGCUGACAACUCUGUCAACAGCAGGCUCCUCUGUGAGGCUGUGAAUUUGGAAAUCACGUACUUGAUACAGACAUUGUUGCAAUGAUACAAACCAGACUAAGAAAGUGGACUCCUGAGAUCAGGGAGACCUGCAGACCUACUUGGUUCAUUACCUGGGAGUCACCGAGACCUCAGGGCUUGGCGAAGAGACCAUCUGGGGAGGGGGAGGGGGCAGCGGUCCUGGACGUGUGGUCAGUUCAAGGCAAGGAGAUGGUUCCAGUAGUUCAAAAGCUAGAUCUGUUUGUACGAGCUCCAACAGUAGCUUUGAAUUGCUUUGAAACUCGAGUGUUGAUAAGCCGCUAGGUAGCGGGGUACUGGGUAAUAAAUGUGAAAAAUGUUU
Molecule: long non-coding RNA, 1113 nt
Organism: Acinonyx jubatus (cheetah)
Lineage: Eukaryota; Metazoa; Chordata; Mammalia; Carnivora; Felidae
Exons: 4
Source: RefSeq, a predicted model, not a curated record